GGAUUAGAUACCCUGGUAGUCCACGCUGUAAACGAUGAGUACUAGACUUGGUGGGUCUUGACCCCCGCCGAGUCGGAGCUAACGCAAUAAGUACUCCGCCUGGGAAGUACGGUCGCAAGACUAAAACUCAAAGGAAUUGACGGGGGCCCGCACAAGCGGUGGAUCAUGUGGUUUAAUUCGAAGCAACGCGAAAAACCUUACCUGGGUUUGACAUCCUCUGACCGAUAUAGAGAUAUAUUUUUUGUAGCAAUACAACAGAGAGACAGGUGCUGCAUGGCUGUCGUCAGCUCGUGCCG
This 296-nucleotide ribosomal RNA is filed under the name uncultured bacterium. RNAcentral describes it as "partial 16S ribosomal RNA". It matches the Rfam family "Bacterial small subunit ribosomal RNA", at positions 775 to 1067 of the family's 1533-position model. The record is from RNAcentral.